Molecule: ribosomal RNA, 508 nt
Filed under: uncultured bacterium
Lineage: Bacteria
Description: bacterial SSU rRNA
Rfam family: Bacterial small subunit ribosomal RNA
Source: RNAcentral
GACGAACGCUGACGGUGUGCUUUAGACAUGCAAGUCGAACGAGAAAGCCCUUCGGGUUAGUAAAGUGGCGAACGGGUGAGUAACACGUGGGCAAUCUGCCCCUCGCAGGGGGACAACCGGAGGAAACUCCGGCUAAUACCCCGUAAGUUCAAAGGGAGGCAUCUCUCUUCGAAGAAAGGUAGCUUCGGCCAUCCGGCGAGGGAUGAGCCCGCGGUGCAUUAGCUAGUUGGUGGGGUAACGGCCUACCAAGGCGACGAUGCAUAGCUGGUCUGAGAGGAUGAUCAGCCACACUGGGACUGAGACACGGCCCAGACUCCUACGGGAGGCAGCAGUCGGGAAUCUUGCGCAAUGGGCGAAAGCCUGACGCAGCAACACCGUGUGUGUGAGGAAGGCCCUCGGGUCGUAAAGCACUGUUGUGGGGGACGAAGGGCGAAGGGUUAAUAGCCCCUAGCUUGACGGUACCCUUCGAGGAACGCCCGGCUAACUACGUGCCAGCAGCCGCGGUAAC